AUGCAAUCUUUUAGCGUCCGCCUCGACUCCUACGCUACUGGCCAAAUUGUUUCAUCUUCCUCAUUCACUGAAAAACGCCGCAAGUUAUCCCCGGUUCUCCGCGAGUCAUCCAACAGUUGCUUUGACGUCAUCUCCGCGAGGGUUCGGUUCAUAAAAUCAUUGUUGCCAAAUCGUUUCAUCAUCAAAAUCGGUUCUUUGAAAUCGAAGAAGUUGCAUGCCGACACUGCGAUUUAUAAAAUAGGUCUGGUAUAG
Non-coding RNA from Vicia faba (fava bean), 252 nucleotides. The record is from the annotation of a GenBank genome assembly. Lineage: Eukaryota; Viridiplantae; Streptophyta; Magnoliopsida; Fabales; Fabaceae.